CGCCUUCCCCUAUCUCCCUGUCAGCCACCUCCACCACCCCCACGCUUCUCCUCACCACAACAGAUCCCUUCGCCGCCGCCCUCGCACUCGCACCAAGCCGCCGCCGAUCCCUGCGUCCCAGCGGAUCCGUUCGUCGCUGCCGAUCCUUCGCUGCCGUCGAUCUCGUUGCUACAUCGACGGCAACCAGGGGUCGUCCUCCGCCCGGCCGCGGCGGAGACCAAGCAGGAGUCCUCCAAGGAUGACUCCCGCGGGAUCAUCCUGAUCCUGUUCGAGAAGUUCGGCUUCUCCCACCGCGGGUCCGUCUCCAUCGCGCUCACCGGCGCCAGGGCUGCCUCCAAGCUCGCCAAGCCGGACCCUUCGCAGCUCGGCUUCUUCCUUUGA
RNAcentral lists this ribosomal RNA (381 nucleotides) under Triticum aestivum (bread wheat). RNAcentral describes it as "partial small subunit ribosomal RNA". Lineage: Eukaryota; Viridiplantae; Streptophyta; Magnoliopsida; Poales; Poaceae. The record is from RNAcentral.